ACAGGAUGGAUAAUUCGAGUGUCUUGAUACAUUUUUGGUUGUUUGAGUUGUUUCCCUUGGUUUCCCGCAAUUUUGAUCAUGUGACUAGUUUUGUCUUUGUUGAAGCGGCUUUGUAAAAUCUAAGUUCAGACAUUUUCUUAGUGUUUUAAAUUUAUUUAAAAUUUGGAUUAUUGAUAGUUGAAAUUACAGCACAGAGAGUUUGGUUGUAUGUGUGUUUUGGAGAAGAUGAUGUAAUAUGAUAUAAUUGUACAUUCAGUUCCACAAACUGAGUGUCAAUUGAUUUGAUCGAGUCGAUUGAAUGAGAUUUAUUGACGAUUCAUUGACGAUUCAUAUAGUUUGUCGAUCAUUGAUUGGUUUACUGAUGUUUGGAUAUAUAUGUAAGAUUGAUAUACAUGUAUGUGAACUGGAAGAUAAAUAAAUACAUUAGAACUGUGCACAGUUAUUUGUUUGGAAAGACAUCUUUGAUCCAUAUUUAGACGCCGCAGCGAUAUAAGAAUAGAACCCAAUUUCUUGGUUAUUACAACCUUUCAAUUUCAACCAAGUUACAUAAACAAUCUAAACAAUCUAUAUCCUAAUAUAU
Long non-coding RNA from Ruditapes philippinarum (Manila clam), 580 nucleotides. RefSeq lists it as uncharacterized. NCBI's taxonomy places the organism in Eukaryota, Metazoa, Mollusca, Bivalvia, Venerida, Veneridae. The transcript is spliced from 3 exons. The record is from RefSeq and is a predicted model, not a curated record.